This 496-nucleotide long non-coding RNA is filed under the name Brassica napus (rape). RNAcentral describes it as "long non-coding RNA (BNAP_LNC005219)". The record is from RNAcentral. Lineage: Eukaryota; Viridiplantae; Streptophyta; Magnoliopsida; Brassicales; Brassicaceae.
GAGAGUUAUUCCUUGGGAGAAAAAGGAAAGUUGCUUAAGUUGCUUUUGGAAGAACUUGGAGAGCAAGUUCUGGUUAUGUAUACAUGGAGGACGUGCCUCUAUGAUGAGAGUUGUCUCUGGAAAAAGAAAAAGUCGAGAGAUCAUUGUUUUGUGCUUGUGUGAUCAAGCUUUUGGUGUCUCUGUGCUAGGUGCUGACGUAGUUGGUGAAGUACUUCCGAGGAGUUGGAAGAUUGAAGUCUAGAUUCAGGGGGAGUUUAGCUCGGGGUUUGGAGGAUCCUGAUAAAUAAAAGUCUAGGCUCUAGGGUGAGUUUAGCUCGGGGUUUGGAGGAUCCUGAUAAACAAAAGUCUAGGCUCGAGGGUGAGUUUUAGCUUAGUACUGGGGUAAUCCUAAAGGAUUCUUGUAAUAAAAAAGAUUGGUGUAAGACUUUCUUGUUCUAGUGAAUUCGAAAAGAGAAAAACUUGUGUCUUGUUUAUUUCUGCAUUUUACUCUGGCCUC